Callorhinus ursinus (northern fur seal) is the source of this 1043-nucleotide non-coding RNA. NCBI's taxonomy places the organism in Eukaryota, Metazoa, Chordata, Mammalia, Carnivora, Otariidae. The record is from RefSeq and is a predicted model, not a curated record.
GCGAGCUCCGGUCCAGUCCAUGCCCGCGCACUGGCAGUGGCAUGUGGUCUCGGCGCGCACGUCCCACGAGCCACAGGCGGAGCCACAGGAGGAAGACAGACACCAAGAAAGAGCUCAAUUGGCCUCACACUCCACCACUCAUCUCUGCCCCAGAGGAGAGGAACUGAAUUCUGGGAAAACUUCUGGCAGAAGAAUGUGGCCCCCGGUGGAAGAUUCCAGGGAGGUUUUAUGGAGGAAGAGAUGGCUGAGCGGAAGGUGGAGGAUAUCAACUUGCUGUCCUGUUGACAGACGAGAUGACAGGGGGCUCGGCCGAAUCAGGAAUCAUUUGCUUCCUGUUCCACAUCAACGACAGAAAAGAAAAGCAAGAGCCCUGGAACCCUGCCCGCUUUCUUAAGCAAGAGCUGGUGAGCCUGGCUUCAUUUAGAAACGCUUCUGACCCAGGGGGUCGGGGUGGGGGGUCCUGUCUGGCAGAAGGGGAGUCUGAGCAGCUAACUACCAGCUGCAGAGGUGGGGAGAUGACAGGCAAGACCUGAGGGGGCCAGGUUGUGCCUUGGGGCAAGGAACAGUGAGAGCCUGAAUGUUGGGUGGUAAAGAGCAUGGAGAUUUCCAGUGUUAACCACCUGAGAUUCUCCUUUGCAGUAGACCCACUCUCGUCUCUAGGUGUGCCUGGGUUCCUUGAGCCUCUGGACCCCUUACAGAAUAUCUUUCACUUGGCGGCUCCUUGGGGUGCCCUGAGAUGAUCACAUCUACUGUUUGUUGAGCAAUUUAUACAUAUGACCACCAGCCGGUCAGGUAGAGAUGAUUAUUAUCUACAAGAGGAGCUGCUGAGGCCCAGAGAGGCUAAAUGACUUGUCUGGGGUCACACAGCAAGUUGGUGGAGGAGCUGGGAUUUCAACCCUGAUGGUGUGUCUCAAGGAUCUGCACCUUUCAGCCCCAAGAAGUGUGUGUAUGUGGGGGGCACUCCCUGGAUGACCACAGCACUGUCCCAGCUUUAAAAAAUAAGAAGAAAGAAAAAGAAUAAAAGCAACAUUGUUUUGAGAAUA